UGUAGCAAAACACUUGAUAUUGACAUUUCAAGAUAGACUGAAGAUAGCAAUAGAAAUUGCCCGAGGGGUUCGAUAUAUGCAUGAAGAAUGUCCUCAGGGCCCUAUUGUUCACGGCGAAUUACUCAUCAGCAAUAUUUUUCUGCAACGUGAUUUACGUCCGCUGAUCUCUGGCUUCGGGAAAGCUACAUGGCUUCAUCUUAAGCAAUUAUCAAAGCCAAUCCCCAACCAAAAGUUUUCCCUCCGCGAUUAUAUAGACCUGGAAUCAUGUGUUCGAUUAAAAUCCGACAUCUUCUCCUAUGGAAUCUUGCUUUUGAGGCUGUUUUGCAAAACAUCUGUGCCACGGGACGACAAAACUUUAAUU
Non-coding RNA from Malus domestica (apple), 361 nucleotides. The record is from RefSeq and is a predicted model, not a curated record. Lineage: Eukaryota; Viridiplantae; Streptophyta; Magnoliopsida; Rosales; Rosaceae.